UGUCCUGUAGCACAAUGGGUAGCGCGUUGGACUUCUAAUCCAAAGAUCGUGGGUUCGGAUCCCACCUGGGAAG
This 73-nucleotide transfer RNA is filed under the name Trichonephila clavata. It matches the Rfam family "tRNA". From Rfam's summary of the family: Transfer RNA (tRNA) molecules are approximately 80 nucleotides in length. Their secondary structure includes four short double-helical elements and three loops (D, anti-codon, and T loops). Further hydrogen bonds mediate the characteristic L-shaped molecular structure. tRNAs have two regions of fundamental functional importance: the anti-codon, which is responsible for specific mRNA codon recognition, and the 3' end, to which the tRNAs corresponding amino acid is attached (by aminoacyl-tRNA synthetases). tRNAs cope with the degeneracy of the genetic code in two manners: having more than one tRNA (with a specific anti-codon) for a particular amino acid; and 'wobble' base-pairing, i.e. permitting non-standard base-pairing at the 3rd anti-codon position. Lineage: Eukaryota; Metazoa; Arthropoda; Arachnida; Araneae; Nephilidae. The record is from Rfam by way of RNAcentral.